AUUGAACGCUGGCGGCAUGCCUUACACAUGCAAGUCGAACGGUAACAGGUCUACGGAUGCUGACGAGUGGCGAACGGGUGAGUAAUACAUCGGAACGUGCCUAGUAGUGGGGGAUAACUACUCGAAAGAGUGGCUGAUACCGCAUGAGAUCUACGGAUGAAAGCAGGGGAUCGCAAGACCUUGUGCUACUAGAGCGGCCGAUGGCAGAUUAGGUAGUUGGUGGGAUAAAAGCUUACCAAGCCGACGAUCUGUAGCUGGUCUGAGAGGACGAUCAGCCACACUGGGACUGAGACACGGCCCAGACUCCUACGGGAGGCAGCAGUGGGGAAUUUUGGACAAUGGGCGAAAGCCUGAUCCAGCAAUGCCGCGUGCAGGAUGAAGGCCUUCGGGUUGUAAACUGCUUUUGUACGGAACGAAAAGCCCCGGGUUAAUACCCUGGGGUCAUGACGGUACCGUAAGAAUAAGCACCGGCUAACUACGUGCCAGCCGCCGCGGUAA
Molecule: ribosomal RNA, 498 nt
Filed under: uncultured bacterium
Lineage: Bacteria
Description: partial 16S ribosomal RNA
Rfam family: Bacterial small subunit ribosomal RNA
Source: RNAcentral